RNAcentral lists this ribosomal RNA (253 nucleotides) under uncultured bacterium. RNAcentral's name for it is "partial 16S ribosomal RNA". It matches the Rfam family "Bacterial small subunit ribosomal RNA", at positions 524 to 776 of the family's 1533-position model. The record is from RNAcentral.
UACAGAGGGUGCGAGCGUUAAUCGGAAUUACUGGGCGUAAAGCGCACGUAGGUGGCGACGUAAGUCGGGUGUGAAAGCCCCGGGCUCAACCUGGGAAUUGCAUUCGAGACUGCAUUGCUGGAGUACGGAAGAGGAAGGCGGAAUUCCCGGUGUAGCGGUGAAAUGCGUAGAUAUCGGGAGGAACAUCAGUGGCGAAGGCGGCCUUCUGGUCCAGUACUGACGCUGAGGAGCGAAAGCCAGGGGAGCAAACGGG